RNAcentral lists this transfer RNA (76 nucleotides) under Paenibacillus cisolokensis. Its description in RNAcentral is "tRNA-Ala". It matches the Rfam family "tRNA". From Rfam's summary of the family: Transfer RNA (tRNA) molecules are approximately 80 nucleotides in length. The record is from RNAcentral. Lineage: Bacteria; Bacillati; Bacillota; Bacilli; Caryophanales; Paenibacillaceae.
GGACGCUUAGCUCAGCUGGGAGAGCGCCUGCCUUGCAAGCAGGAGGUCAGGAGUUCGAUCCCGUCAGCGUCCACCA